UACGUAGGGUGCGAGCGUUAAUCGGAAUUACUGGGCGUAAAGCGUGCGCAGGCGGCGGCUCAAGUCAGGUGUGAAAUCCCCGGGCUUAACCUGGGAAUUGCGCUUGAAACUAGGUUGCUAGAGUGUGGCAGAGGGGGGUGGAAUUCCACGUGUAGCAGUGAAAUGCGUAGAGAUGUGGAGGAACACCGAUGGCGAAGGCAGCCCCCUGGGUCAACACUGACGCUCAUGCACGAAAGCGUGGGGAGCAAAAAGG
RNAcentral lists this ribosomal RNA (253 nucleotides) under uncultured bacterium. Its description in RNAcentral is "partial 16S ribosomal RNA". It matches the Rfam family "Bacterial small subunit ribosomal RNA", at positions 524 to 776 of the family's 1533-position model. The record is from RNAcentral.